RNAcentral lists this transfer RNA (88 nucleotides) under Burkholderiales bacterium. Its description in RNAcentral is "tRNA-Leu". It matches the Rfam family "tRNA". Rfam says of the family: Transfer RNA (tRNA) molecules are approximately 80 nucleotides in length. Lineage: Bacteria; Pseudomonadati; Pseudomonadota; Betaproteobacteria; Burkholderiales. RNAcentral also lists the same sequence under 6 other names. The record is from RNAcentral.
GCCGAGGUGGCGGAAUUGGUAGACGCGCUGGCUUCAGGUGCCAGUGAGCAUUUAGCUCGUGGAGGUUCAAGUCCUCUCCUCGGCACCA